CCUCCUUUCUCCCGAUUAUUGCUUUUGUUUCUUUUCUCUUCUUUCCUCUUCCUUCUUUCUUCUCGACCGAACAGCGACAGGGAGAGAGAUCAGAGACCGAGACACCAGAUUUACCGGUGGAUCAUCGGUGGGUCGGAGCUGACGACGCCGGUUAAGUCUGAAGAACGUUUUCCGGUGGGUUAAAGUCUGAUUUCCGGUGAUUGGGUGGAGGAUUGUUCCAUUGCCAAAUUUAGCAUUUUCCGGUGGUUCUUCUCAGCUUCAAACGAAAAUCCUCAAGCACGUGACACGAGAUUAGAGGCUAAAACUAGUUCUCCAAUGUAUAGUACGAGGUGACUAGAUCGAGGAAGAGUAUUUGAGUCAUGAGUCCAAAGCGGUCUACAGGUCUCAAUUAAACAAAUCAAGGAGAAGGAAUACGAAGAAGGAAUACAGAGAAAGAGUCCCAAGUUCACGACUCAUAUAUGCACCUAUGCGAACUUUCUCUUUUUCACACACACACACACACAUAUAU
Long non-coding RNA from Alnus glutinosa, 508 nucleotides. RefSeq lists it as uncharacterized. Lineage: Eukaryota; Viridiplantae; Streptophyta; Magnoliopsida; Fagales; Betulaceae. The record is from RefSeq and is a predicted model, not a curated record. The transcript is spliced from 3 exons.